This 533-nucleotide ribosomal RNA is filed under the name Biscogniauxia sp. CT562. RNAcentral describes it as "eukaryotic LSU rRNA". The stretch from base 165 to 318 matches the Rfam family "5.8S ribosomal RNA". Lineage: Eukaryota; Fungi; Ascomycota; Sordariomycetes; Xylariales; Xylariaceae. The record is from RNAcentral.
CUCCAAACCCCUGUGAACUUACCUAUGUUGCCUUGGCAGGUCGUGGUGUGUAGCGUGAUCGCUAUAAGGGAUCACCGCCUCGCACCACGCUGAAAGACCUGUCAAAGGACCCCUAAACUCUGUCUUACAACUGUAUCUCUGAGUCUAUUAUAUAAACAAGUUAAAACUUUCAACAACGGAUCUCUUGGCUCUGGCAUCGAUGAAGAACGCAGCGAAAUGCGAUAAGUAAUGUGAAUUGCAGAAUUCAGUGAAUCAUCGAAUCUUUGAACGCACAUUGCGCCUGAUAGUAUUCUGUCAGGCAUGCCUGUUCGAGCGUCAUUUCAACCCCCAAGCCCUAAUCUGCUUGACGUUGGGAGUUUACGGAGACGUAAUUCCUCAAAUAUAGUGGCGGAGCUAGGUCGUGCUCUAAGCGUAGUAACCACACUCUCGCUUCUGCAGCCGGCCUAGGUCUUGCCGUAAAACCCCUAUAUUUAUUUUUUACUGGUUGACCUCGGAUCAGGUAGGAAUACCCGCUGAACUUAAGCAUAUCAUAG